Long non-coding RNA from Larimichthys crocea (large yellow croaker), 273 nucleotides. RefSeq lists it as uncharacterized. NCBI's taxonomy places the organism in Eukaryota, Metazoa, Chordata, Actinopteri, Sciaenidae. The transcript has 3 exons. The record is from RefSeq and is a predicted model, not a curated record.
UUUUUUUUUUUUUUUUUUACAGUAAAUAUGUGCAAAUUUACAAUUCCUGUAAACUGGAGCCUGUUGACGUCUCCAGACCAAAGCUCAAGAAGUGCACCAUGGUCUUCAAAGGCUUUUUGAUUUUUCGGGAAUCCCAUGUGAUGAAGAUUAAUCUGAAAUGUAACACUAUGAAGGAAAGCAUUUUCUACAGGCCAGCUUGUUACAUAAAGCUGAAUCCUCCGUCCAAACCAGAUGUCAACUUUACCACAGUUUCUAACUUGACCACCGUUUCUU